UCGGGCAUGGUGUACGGCACACAGCUGGCUUUCGUGUCCGGUCCUCACGUAUGACCAGCAGAACGGGGUUCGACUCCCCGUGCCCGAA
Mycena galopus ATCC 62051 is the source of this 88-nucleotide non-coding RNA. The record is from the annotation of a GenBank genome assembly. Lineage: Eukaryota; Fungi; Basidiomycota; Agaricomycetes; Agaricales; Mycenaceae.